AUUCAGCGGCGCUGGCUGGAGCUGAGAUGGAAGUUAGUUUCUAUGUAGCAGAAAUAUGAAACAAAUGAAGCAAAACUGCCCAGAGAGGGGAAAUGCCCCAAGGAUGGGUCUCACUCACGCGCGUACACAGACACACACGCAGAGAGCACUCUCACGCUGGGCAAGCUCGGGAUCGCGCUACCCUUCCCGAGUUGAAUGAUAGUGUUUGGUUUCUGUCUCUUGCCAUGUGCAUGUGUAUAAAUGCUGCGGAUUGGCAUCUGUGUAAGUCUUGUCCUGCGUUAUUUCUGCAGCCUAUGCAAGUGUUGUGUAAUUUAUUGGAGUGCUGUAUAUUGCAAUAGAGGUUUGGGCUGCUUUUUGUUAAGCACUUGCGUUUUGCAAACCCGUUAUUUGCUGAAGCCACCUCUGCAUAUUUCUUUUAUUACUGCCAUUGCCUUUGGCGUACGUUUUUUAAAUGUUUUUUAUUGUUAAACGGGCAAAGCGAACUCUUGAUUUGUACUUCAGAUACUCUUUUUCCUUAUUACAAAAAGGCUAGUGAUGGCUAAUUAGGUAUUUGGAAUUAAAGAACCUUAAAGCUUUUUUAAGUGUUUACGAGAAGGGAGAAUGUAAACCUGAGGGAAAGGAAAGGACGCUAAUAUUCAUGUCUAACUGAUCUGGAGGUAAUUUAGUGACAGAUCGAUAACCUGCCUAAGGAUAUUGAAAGAGUAUACUACAGUUUAGCCAAGGUGAAUAGUGAUUAAAUAAUUUAAAUAAUCUGUGUAUCUUGCAGUUGACUUCGUCAUGCUAAUUAAUGGCUUCUAAUUUGAGAUGUAAACCAUUCCUGUUUACAGUUAAUCACGGGAAGACUUCUUGAAAACUGACGAAAAGGAGAAAAAAAAAUCUUUCGUAAAUUAUGGGAAAUACUUGCUGCAAAUGCCUUGGGCUGCACUGUAAGCCCAAGUGUGCUGCACCAGUGUGAUGCCCUAUACUAAAACAUCCAGAAAUCAUCAUACAUAUGAGGAAGAAGAAAUAAAGCCUCAAACCCUUUGGAAUAAUAGGAUAUAAAAUUGCCUUUUGUAACUGAAUCUUAAAAAUGGAAGGUUACCAUGACUUGUCCUAUUGCAACCUGGUUAUCAGAAUAACUUAUUUUUUUUAAGAUAGCUAUUCUCAAAUACUGAACAUAUUUGCAUCUUUAAAGACACUUUAUUCUAUUCAAUUAUAGGUAAAGUAGCCUAUUUCUAGGUGGUUAGGCUUGAAAAGAUAGACUGAAAAGAUAGGAAAUUUUGUAUGCCUUUUUGCAAAUUGUAUUUACUUCUAAGACCGAUGCUGUUUUAGCUUAACUUUUAAAAAAGUGUUCUUCAAAUAAUUGUAAUAUUUUACACGAUCUUGAAGUUCUUCAAAUAAACAGAGUUUAGAAACUAAAAAUUAUAGUGGGAUUUUCUGGUUUUGAAGGCUUGGAAUGUAUGAUUCUUACUAAUAGAUGUUUUAUUCUUGUGAUUGAAAAUAAACCAAAUUAUGACAUGGAAUAUAAUAUUACUCUGGGUAAAGUUUGUGAUAUAUAUCUUCUGUGUGUUUUGUAAACAUAGAAAACUAGCAUGAUUAUCUCAUAUAUUCUUUUCAUUUAGAAGCCACAAAAGCUUUCACCUAAAUAUGCUACUAGUACUUAGCUCCUUAAAAAUUUUUUGGAAAAUCCCCCUCUAAGUUUUCUAAACAUGAUGUUCCUGUCAUUUUGAUUGAUUUUUGACAGUGUUUAUAUUUCUUUUUCAAAUGUCCAAUAUGCAGAUUGUUGUAACCUUCCCUUUGAACUAUUGUCUGUUAUAAGAAAAUAUACAUUACCUGCUAAAAAUUAAAACUUCCCUUCAGCCAAAUAAACUAUUUGUAUUUAACAGUGGAUAUUGAAUUGAAUUUUACUAAGUCCUUUAAAUGUAACAAAUACUCCAAAUAGCCCUUUUAAUUUUCUUAAACAUAAAAAACAUUUGUGAAUUAUAGCAUUGACAGUUAACUGUAAGAUUUAUUAAGUUGUUUAUUGUACUUGUUUAUGUACAAAGUCUGUAAAUAUCAAAUAGAAAGAAAAGUCUUAUUUGGAAGUUCUAGAUUUUAGUUCCCAAAGCAAUGAUCCUUGCAAUUUUUUGUUCAGCCAACUCUUUUGCAUAUAAGGAUAGUUCAGAUUCCAUCUAUAUCCUUUCCUGUUUGUUUAUUUUAACAUUUUUAUGGGUUUCCAAAAAUAAAAUAUCACUUUAAAAAGAUCUCCAUGCAGUUUAAAUAACAAGGUUAACAAAUAAUAGUAAAAGUUUGGAAAGCCAAGACCUAACGUUUUUACAUAAUAUAGUCUCUCUAGGAGAUAUAGAAACUUUUCUUGAAAUAUAAAAGUUUAUGUGAAAUUCAUCAC
RNAcentral lists this long non-coding RNA (2365 nucleotides) under Homo sapiens (human). Its description in RNAcentral is "non-protein coding lnc-IRAK1BP1-3:5". The record is from RNAcentral. Lineage: Eukaryota; Metazoa; Chordata; Mammalia; Primates; Hominidae.